UGUGGGGUCAGUGUUUUUAUUUAUCAUCAAACUUCAGUAUCAAAACUCAGCCACAGCUGUUGCUAUAUGCAUUUGAGAGAUACCUGGGAGCCAAGGGGAAGGAGUGGCCAUGUUUGGAGACAUAGGACGGGCAAGAAGUGUGAUGGAAAGCUGGAGUCGGGCAGUAAAAGAACGCACCGGGGAGAACUGUGCAACUGCAGUAUCCCAGAGGUCAAGUCUUCUUCAAGCUCAGCCCAGUGAGAUCUAAAAUUGGGAACUUACCAGAAACUAGCAGAAAAGUAUGGCAAAAAGAGAAAUAUGAUCCAAUGAUCCAACUCCAGAAAAACUCACUGGAUCGAGGUGAACACAGCCUCUUUAAAGCUCUUGCCAAUGAGCUGCUGGUCACUUUUUGCUGCUUGUCAUUCAAGCACUUUGACACGGACCUGAAGCUAUUAUCACAAGUGCCUAUUCCAUACUUCAUUCAACUUUUGGGAGUCUACCAAUGGUGUACAGGACCGAAUGUAAUCAAUAUCCCAAGAAGCAAAAGAGAUGCGCCUAGCAGAAGCAUCUUGAAGGUGUACUGUAUCUAUCACCAUGAAGUCUGCAUUCCCAUUUUUUUUUUUUUUUUUUUUUUGGCUUGGGAAGAUAACUGCAAAAGUUUUUUUUUUUUUUUUAAGAUCAUGUUUCUAACUAGCAGGUAUCAUGAAAACCUCAAAUUAUUGAAUAACAAUAGAAUUGUUAAACACUUUUAAAAAAGUCCUGUUAAGUAAUAUUUCCCCUAAUCACAAUUAAAGACAAUAAAUAAAUGGAAAUUACUUCUUUGAA
This 804-nucleotide long non-coding RNA is filed under the name Homo sapiens (human). RNAcentral describes it as "HSALNT0142749". The record is from RNAcentral. Lineage: Eukaryota; Metazoa; Chordata; Mammalia; Primates; Hominidae.